This 461-nucleotide ribosomal RNA is filed under the name uncultured bacterium. RNAcentral describes it as "partial 16S ribosomal RNA". It matches the Rfam family "Bacterial small subunit ribosomal RNA", at positions 337 to 795 of the family's 1533-position model. The record is from RNAcentral.
GACUACAGGUGACAGCAGUGAGGAAUAUUGGUCAAUGGACGAGAGUCUGAACCAGCCAAGUAGCGUGAAGGAUGACUGCCCUAUGGGUUGUAAACUUCUUUUAUAAAGGAAUAAAACGAGGCACGUGUGCCUUUUUGCAUGUACUUUAUGAAUCAGGAUCGGCUAACUCCGUGCCAGCAGCCGCGGUAAUACGGAGGAUCCGAGCGUUAUCCGGAUUUAUUGGGUUUAAAGGUAGCGUAGAUGGGUUGUUAAGUCAGUUGUGAAAGUUUGCGGCUCAAACGUAAAAGUGCAAGUGAUACUUGCAGUCUUGAGUACAGUUGAGGUAGGCGGAAUUCGUGGUGGAGCGGUGAAAUGCUUAGAUAUCACGAAGAACCCCGAUUGCGAAGGCAGCUUACUAAACUGUGACUGACAUUGAUGCUCGAAAGUGUGGGUAUUAAACAGGAUUAGAUACCCGGGUAGUC